Molecule: ribosomal RNA, 487 nt
Filed under: Flavobacteriaceae bacterium JJ-1739
Lineage: Bacteria; Pseudomonadati; Bacteroidota; Flavobacteriia; Flavobacteriales; Flavobacteriaceae
Description: bacterial SSU rRNA
Rfam family: Bacterial small subunit ribosomal RNA
Source: RNAcentral
AGAGUUUGAUCCUGGCUCAGGAUGAACGCUAGCGGCAGGCUUAACACAUGCAAGUCGAGGGGUAUUAGUUUUCGGACUAAGAGACCGGCGCACGGGUGCGUAACGCGUAUGCAAUCUACCUUUUACAGAGGGAUAGCCCAGAGAAAUUUGGAUUAAUACCUCAUAGCAUAGCAGGAUGGCAUCAUUCAGCAAUUAAAGUCACAACGGUAAAAGAUGAGCAUGCGUCCCAUUAGCUAGUUGGUAAGGUAACGGCUUACCAAGGCUACGAUGGGUAGGGGUCCUGAGAGGGAGAUCCCCCACACUGGUACUGAGACACGGACCAGACUCCUACGGGAGGCAGCAGUGAGGAAUAUUGGACAAUGGGCGCAAGCCUGAUCCAGCCAUGCCGCGUGCAGGAUGACGGUCCUAUGGAUUGUAAACUGCUUUUAUACGAGAAGAAACACUCCUUCGUGAAGGAGCUUGACGGUAUCGUAAGAAUAAGAUCGGC